Molecule: RNA transcript, 1753 nt
Organism: Zea mays
Lineage: Eukaryota; Viridiplantae; Streptophyta; Magnoliopsida; Poales; Poaceae
Gene name: protein-like pseudogene
Exons: 4
Source: RefSeq, marked validated
CCACCCCAUCCCAUCCCCAUCAACAACGCAAAAACCUAAACCGCUCUGGUCCAUCCACAUCCACAGUCGCCAUCGCCCCCACCUCUCGUCGUCGUCUCCGUGCACCACUAGGCCCCCACUGCCGGCCGCGCCUCCUAGCCACCUCGUGCCGCUCGGCCACCAUGCCCGUCCUCCACUGCCCCUAUGGCUGCCAUGGGCGAGCGCUGCCCGAGCAGCCGACCGCCCUUUCCCUACCGUUUUCAGCUGCCGCGCGCUGCCUCUCCUCCCCGCCAGGCCUCCACUGCCCACUUCUCCGGCGGCUACAGCGGAAGGCAAGGAGAAGGACAGCGGGCAGCGGUAGCUAGAUCUAGCAAGCACAGGGCGUCUUCUCCAUCCGCCACCUCUCGGCGCAUCAUCAGCUGAGGCUGAGCUCUCUCAUUCACCGCUGGCUCUUGCUCUUGUGUUCAUAAGUAACUUCGCAUUGCCUUGCCCCCUUGUCCUGCUCCCUCCUCCCCUCCGGAUCUCCCCGCCUGCUCCAUUUAAUUACUGACUCGUACCCUUCCCCGCAUUCGCCUUCUUGUUUCUUCCAUCCCACCCGUAUCAGCCACCGGUUCCCAAUGCCCAGGUAGGCAGCCCAGCACUGUGUGGUCGUCUGAUCCGCGGCGGCGCGCCCGUCGUUACCUACGCGAAUGGCUCCUCCAGCAGGGGCAGGGACGGAGGGGAGGCCGGCGCAGCGGCGCGGCACCGGAACCAGCCCCGGCCGCACCAAGGUGUGGGUCGAGCCACCGGGCAAGAGCCGCGACCACCACCAGCCACCUCGUGCCGCCGCCCGUCCUCCACUGCCCCUAUGGCUGCCACGGGCGAGCGCUGCCCGAGCAGCCGACCACCCUUUCCCCACCGUCUUCAGCUGCCGCGCGCUGCCCCGCCUCCCCGCCAGGCCUCCACUGCCCACUUCUCCGGCGGCUACAGCGGAAGUCAAGGAGAAGGACAGCGGGCAGCGGUAGCUGGAUCUGGCAAGCACAGGGCCGUGCCCCCGGCGGCGCCCGGAUCCGCGUUGCUUGCAACCCCCCCACCCCAGUAGACCUAAUUUAGAAUGUUGUGCAUCAGCGAGUGUUCAUGUUGAUUCUAGGGUUACAUAAUUCAUUUUACUAGAGAUGGCACUAUUCACCCUGCCAAAUAAAUUUAUCUUUCACUUGUAGGUAAUUUAGGCGUUUGUCAUAAUCUCUGAUAUAUGAGGAAAGAGAAGGAACAUGUUGGAGAUGGAGUAGAGUUGCUGGAUGAUGAUAUGUUUGUGUUGCUAUUGUUCAAAAAUUCACCAAACUCUACUUCAGUGAGUGCACAUGGAUGCGAGGAGUAGAGUGCCUCGAUGGCGAGGCAGGUUCAUCCAGACAAGAAGAAACCAUGAUGGAAUCUGGAUUUCCCCUCUAUCCGAUGGAAUCCAGAUUCAGUGCCAGUCCGUUUUCCUGUGAUUUUGGGAUACCAGCCCAAUUCCCCUUCAUGGAGGGUAUGCGUUGCUGUUGGUUGGCACACCGGAAGGCAGAACCUUUAGCUGUGAAGGCCUGUGACUGAGGUCAUUUCAUGCAACUAACAAUUCUGGUGAAGACUAUCCAAUCUUAGGACACAACAUGCAACAAUUAGACGUAUCUAUCAUGAUCCUUCUAUAAUUUAACGAUCCUUAUAUAGUUUAACAAGUAUUAUGUUUUUCUGUAAAGCUUAGAAAUACUUAUUUUGUUAAUGCAUAGAAAAUCAAUGAAAAAAAUGUAGAGCUUUUAUG